RNAcentral lists this long non-coding RNA (788 nucleotides) under Elaeis guineensis (African oil palm). RNAcentral describes it as "long non-coding RNA (EGUI_LNC036306)". The record is from RNAcentral. Lineage: Eukaryota; Viridiplantae; Streptophyta; Magnoliopsida; Arecales; Arecaceae.
UCUUAGAGAGAUGCUAAAACAAAUUUGAAUAUAACCUUUUGAAUUUAAAUAAAUCUAAAGCAAGAUUGAAUUGGAUGAACAAAACUAAAACUUCAUCUAAAGAACAUUUGAAACUUACACGAUGAGAAGAUACAAGGAUUUUGAACAUAGGAUGGCUUCAAGGAUCUUGCUUCAUUUUCUCUGGCUGAAGCCUUUUGGGAUACAAGCUUGAAAUAGGAUUUUUGAUCCUAAACUAUUUUGGAUCCUAAUCUAAAAGGAUUUUUACAAUGGACUAUAUUGGAAAAGAUUUUUGAUACAAAGGGUUUUUGAAGGAUGGAAGAGGUUACAAGACAGAAGAAGAUUUUGGUGGAACACUCCCUCACUGGCUUGUAUUAUUGUUUGACUUCUUCCCAAGACUUAUUUGGGAGGCAUGUUCGAGACUUGUUCUUGAAUGUUGGCUCUUGUGGUCUUCUUAUAGAAGCUUUGAUAGACUUCAACUAGCUUAAAGUCCGGAAACUUGGAGUUGAAGUAACUUGAGGAUGAAGUUGAAGUAACUUGAGGCUUCAUCUUUGUUGAAAGGAAUCUGACAAAGUAUUUGUUGCUUUUGAGGGCUUCGUCUUUGAGAUUCUUCCUGUUGGAGAACUUGAGGGUGAAGUUAUUUGGGGAUGAAGUUUGCUAGAAGAUGUCUAACUUGAAAGCAAAGUUUGUUGAAAAGUAUUUACUACUUUUGAGGUUUCAUCCUUGAUGUUGGAGAAAUCAGGGGCGGAGCCCAUGUGCGAAGGUGGUUUUAUAAUAAAACCAGGGGCUGA